GUCUCAAAGAUUAAGCCAUGCAUGUGUAAGUAUAAGCAAAUAUACUGUGAAACUGCGAAUGGCUCAUUAAAUCAGUUAUCGUUUAUUUGAUGGUACCUUACUACUUGGAUAACCGUGGUAAUUCUAGAGCUAAUACAUGCUAAAAACUCCGACUUAGCAAGGAGUGUAUUUAUUAGAUAUUUAAACCAACAUUCUUCGGAAUUCUUGGUGAUUCAUAAUAACUUAUCACAGCGCAUAGCUUUAUGCUGGUGCGAGAUCAUUCAAAUACCUGCCCUAUCAAGUUUCGAUGUGAGGGUAGUGUCCUCACAUGCUUUUGACGGGUAACGGGGAAUUAGGGUUCGACUCCGGAGAGGGAGCCUGAGAAACGGCUACCACAUCCAAGGAAGGCAGCAGGCGCGCAAAUUACCCAAUCCCGACACGGGGAGGUAGUGACAAGAAAUACUGAUACAGGGUCCUAUCGGAUCUUGUAAUUGGAAUGAGUACAAUUUAAACCCAUUAACGAGGAACAACUAGAGGGCAAGUCUGGUGCCAGCAGCCGCGGUAAUUCCAGCUCUAGUAGCAUACAUUAAAAUUGUUGCAGUUAAAACGCCCGUAGUUGAAGUUUGGAUUUAAUCGCCCGGUCCGCCUCACUGCGAGAACUGGCUGCGAUCGAGUCUUUCUUCUUGGUAAACUGCAUAUCCUUUAUUGGGUGUGUUAGUGCACCAGGACUUUUACUUUGAAAAAAUUAGAGUGUUCAAAGCAGGCUUUUGCUCGGAUACCUUAGCAUGGAAUAAUAAAAUAUGACGAGUGGUUGUAUUUGUUGGUUUUCACGACUACCGUAAUGAUUGAUAGGGAUGGUCGGGGGCAUCGGUAUUCGAUCGUCAGAGGUGAAAUUCUUGGAUUGAACGAAGACCAACCGCUGCGAAAGCAUUUGCCAUGGAUGUUUUCAUUAAUCAAGGACGAAAGUUAGGUGAGCGAAAACGAUCAGAUACCGUUGUAGUCUUAACUGUAAACGAUGCCGACUAGGGAUCGGGUGGCGUCUUUUUAAUGACCUGCUCGGCACCUUGUGAGAAAUCAGAGUUUUUGGGUUCU
RNAcentral lists this ribosomal RNA (1071 nucleotides) under Appendiculina gregaria. Its description in RNAcentral is "SSU rRNA". It matches the Rfam family "Eukaryotic small subunit ribosomal RNA", at positions 34 to 1115 of the family's 1831-position model. The record is from RNAcentral. Lineage: Eukaryota; Fungi; Ascomycota; Laboulbeniomycetes; Laboulbeniales; Laboulbeniaceae.